UACGGGGGGUGCAAGCGUUGUUCGGAAUUAUUGGGCGUAAAGAGCGCGUAGGCGGCUUGAUAAGUCAGAUGUGAAAGCCCUGGGCUUAACCUAGGAAGUGCAUUUGAAACUGUCUAGCUAGAGUAAUGGAGGGGGAAGUGGAAUUCCUGGUGUAGAGGUGAAAUUCGUAGAUAUCAGGAGGAACACCGGUGGCGAAGGCGACUUCCUGGCCCUAUACUGACGCUGAGACGCGAGAGCGUGGGUAG
Molecule: ribosomal RNA, 245 nt
Filed under: uncultured bacterium
Lineage: Bacteria
Description: partial 16S ribosomal RNA
Rfam family: Bacterial small subunit ribosomal RNA
Source: RNAcentral